Molecule: ribosomal RNA, 500 nt
Filed under: Veillonella parvula
Lineage: Bacteria; Bacillati; Bacillota; Negativicutes; Veillonellales; Veillonellaceae
Description: bacterial SSU rRNA
Rfam family: Bacterial small subunit ribosomal RNA
Source: RNAcentral
GACGAACGCUGGCGGCGUGCUUAACACAUGCAAGUCGAACGAAGAGCGAUGGAAGCUUGCUUCUAUCAAUCUUAGUGGCGAACGGGUGAGUAACGCGUAAUCAACCUGCCCUUCAGAGGGGGACAACAGUUGGAAACGACUGCUAAUACCGCAUACGAUCUAAACUCGGCAUCGAGGAUAGAUGAAAGGUGGCCUCUACAUGUAAGCUAUCACUGAAGGAGGGGAUUGCGUCUGAUUAGCUAGUUGGAGGGGUAACGGCCCACCAAGGCGAUGAUCAGUAGCCGGUCUGAGAGGAUGAACGGCCACAUUGGGACUGAGACACGGCCCAGACUCCUACGGGAGGCAGCAGUGGGGAAUCUUCCGCAAUGGACGAAAGUCUGACGGAGCAACGCCGCGUGAGUGAUGACGGCCUUCGGGUUGUAAAGCUCUGUUAAUCGGGACGAAAGGCCUUCUUGCGAAUAGUGAGAAGGAUUGACGGUACCGGAAUAGAAAGCCACGGC